RNAcentral lists this ribosomal RNA (766 nucleotides) under uncultured Halobacteria archaeon. RNAcentral describes it as "bacterial SSU rRNA". It matches the Rfam family "Archaeal small subunit ribosomal RNA", at positions 523 to 1287 of the family's 1478-position model. Lineage: Archaea; Methanobacteriati; Methanobacteriota; Halobacteria. The record is from RNAcentral.
AGCCGGCCACACAAGUCCAUCGGGAAAUCCGCCAGCCCAACUGGCGGGCGUCCGGUGGAAACUGUGUGGCUUGGGAUCGGAAGACCCAACGGGUACGUCUUGGGUAGGAGUGAAAUCCUGUAAUCCUAGACGGACCACCGAUAGCGAAAGCACGUUGGGAAGACGAAUCCGACGGUGAGGGACGAAAGCCAGGGUCUCGAACCGGAUUAGAUACCCGGGUAGUCCUGGCCGUAAACGAUGUCUGCUAGGUGUGGCUCCCACUACGAGUAGGUGCUGUGCCGUAGGGAAGCCGCUAAGCAGACCGCCUGGGAAGUACGUCCGCAAGGAUGAAACUUAAAGGAAUUGGCGGGGGAGCACUACAACCGGAGGAGCCUGCGGUUUAAUUGGACUCAACGCCGGACAUCUCACCAGCAUCGACAACAGUAAUGACGGUCAGGUUGAUGACCUUUCCAGAGUUGUUGAGAGGAGGUGCAUGGCCGCCGUCAGCUCGUACCGUGAGGCGUCCUGUUAAGUCAGGCAACGAGCGAGACCCGCACUCCUAAUUGCCAGCACCGGCUUCGGCCGGGUGGGUACAUUAGGAGGACUGCCGUGGCUAACACGGAGGAAGGAACGGGCAACGGUAGGUCAGUAUGCCCCGAAUGUGCUGGGCUACACGCGGGCUACAAUGGCCAAGACAAUGGGUUCCCACCUCGAAAGAGGGCGGUAAUCUCCUAAACUUGGUCGUAGUUCGGAUUGAGGGCUGAAACCCGCCCUCAUGAAGCUGGAU